GAUGAACGCUGGCGGCGUGCUUAACACAUGCAAGUCGAACGAGAAGUGAAGACGGAAACCUUCGGGCGGAAGGCUUUAUUUCGAGUGGCGGACGGGUGAGUAACGCGUGGGUAACCUGCCUCAUACAGGGGGAUAACAGUUGGAAACGACUGUUAAUACCGCAUAAGACCACAGCACCGCAUGGUGCGGGGGUAAAAACUCCGGUGGUAUGAGAUGGACCCGCGUUCGAUUAGCCAGUUGGCGGGGUAACGGCCCACCAAAGCGACGAUCGAUAGCCGAUCUGAGAGGAUGACCGGCAACAUUGGGACUGAGACACGGCCCAAACUCCUACGGGAGGCAGCAGUGGGGAAUAUUGCACAAUGGGGGAAACACUGAUGCAGCGACGCCGCGUGAGUGAAGAAGUAUUUCGGUAUGUAAAGCUCUAUCAGCAGGGAAGAAAAUGACGGUACCUGAGUAAGAAGCCCCGGAUAACUAAGUG
This 478-nucleotide ribosomal RNA is filed under the name uncultured bacterium. Its description in RNAcentral is "partial 16S ribosomal RNA". It matches the Rfam family "Bacterial small subunit ribosomal RNA", at positions 28 to 507 of the family's 1533-position model. The record is from RNAcentral.